GACGAACGCUGGCGGCGUGCUUAACACAUGCCAGUCGAACGGAAAGGCCCUGCUUUUGUGGGGUGCUCGAGUGGCGAACGGGUGAGUAACACGUGAGUAACCUGCCCUUGACUUUGGGAUAACUUCAGGAAACUGGGGCUAAUACCGGAUAGGAGCUCCUGCUGCAUGGUGGGGGUUGGAAAGUUUCGGCGGUUGGGGAUGGACUCGCGGCUUAUCAGCUUGUUGGUGGGGUAGUGGCUUACCAAGGCUUUGACGGGUAGCCGGCCUGAGAGGGUGACCGGCCACAUUGGGACUGAGAUACGGCCCAGACUGCUACGGGAGGCAGCAGUGGGGAAUAUUGCACAAUGGGCGGAAGCCUGAUGCAGCAACGCCGCGUGCGGGAUGACGGCCUUCGGGUUGUAAACCGCUUUCGCCUGUGACGAAGCGUGAGUGACGGUAAUGGGUAAAGAAGCACCGGCUAACUACGUG
Molecule: ribosomal RNA, 468 nt
Filed under: uncultured bacterium
Lineage: Bacteria
Description: partial 16S ribosomal RNA
Rfam family: Bacterial small subunit ribosomal RNA
Source: RNAcentral